AUGAGAACCAUAGAGGAGAUUGUUCGAGCCCUUGAAGUACCAUCCACCGGUAGAAUUCAACCUGCCAUCCUUCCAACAUGGCAGCCGCCGGAUGUGGGGUGGGCAAAAAUAAAUACAGAUGGAGCUGCGGACUCGGAGCAUGGCAAAGGUGGUGCAGGUUUUGUCGUACGAGACCAUCAGGGGGCGUUUGUGAGCGCGGGGUGCUCACGAUAUGAUGGAAUUUCAGACCCGCUCACGAUCGAGCUCCUCGCAUGCAGAGACGCGCUGGCAGCAGCGCAGAACUCAGGGCUGCAGUACGUGGAGAUGGAGACGGAUUGCCAACAAAUCCAGAACCUAUGGGAAUCUCCUCAGAAGUCAAGUUUUUUCCACCUCAUUAGAGAGAUGAGGGAUAUAUGUAAUUUCUUUCAGGGAUUCAAGCUUCGGUAUGCUUGCCGGCAGACUAAUUCGGCCGCCCACCAUGUAGCGAGGCAUGCGUUAAAUCUUUCUGUAUCUAUGAUUAUGUACGAUGUAAUCCUUGGGUGGCUGACUGAAACUUUACAGUCAGACAUGCUAGCGCCUGAUGAAUAA
RNAcentral lists this ribosomal RNA (567 nucleotides) under Triticum aestivum (bread wheat). RNAcentral describes it as "partial small subunit ribosomal RNA". The record is from RNAcentral. Lineage: Eukaryota; Viridiplantae; Streptophyta; Magnoliopsida; Poales; Poaceae.